UCCCUGGUAGGUCAAUAGUAGAGCGGUUGGUUAUUAACCGAUUGUUUGUAGGUUCGAAUCCUACUUGGGGAG
Molecule: transfer RNA, 72 nt
Filed under: Capsicum annuum
Lineage: Eukaryota; Viridiplantae; Streptophyta; Magnoliopsida; Solanales; Solanaceae
Also listed under: 1 other name
Rfam family: tRNA
About the family: Transfer RNA (tRNA) molecules are approximately 80 nucleotides in length. Their secondary structure includes four short double-helical elements and three loops (D, anti-codon, and T loops).
Source: Rfam by way of RNAcentral